This 232-nucleotide ribosomal RNA is filed under the name uncultured bacterium. Its description in RNAcentral is "partial 16S ribosomal RNA". It matches the Rfam family "Bacterial small subunit ribosomal RNA", at positions 545 to 776 of the family's 1533-position model. The record is from RNAcentral.
UCGGAAUUACUGGGCGUAAAGCGUGCGUAGGUGGUUCGUUACGUCUGAUGUGAAAGCCCUGGGCUCAACCUGGGAAUGGCAUUGGAUACUGGCGGACUGGAGUGCGGUAGAGGAUGGCGGAAUUCCCGGUGUAGCAGUGAAAUGCGUAGAGAUCGGGAGGGACAUCUGUGGCGAAGGCGGCCAUCUGGACCAGCACUGACACUGAGGCACGAAAGCGUGGGGAGCAAACAGG